CUAACGCUUCUGUGUCACUUACACUGGUGCCAGACAGGCAUUUUGUGUCUCACUGAGAAAGCGCAGAGCGCGUUCAGGGGGUCGGCUGGUAUUACAGCCUUCGCUUUGGGCUGGAGUGGAUGAAACGUUUCUCCCAGAGUUGCAGGUUUGGAGGCUUGGAUUUCGUUUCCUAGCUUCAGCCAGAUGUCCUCUUCCCUCAAGUGUAAAUGUUGGGCCAAGCCCAGGAAGGAAUCUCGUGACCCGAGACAGGCUGCGUUGUGAAAUCAGCAGCUUUUCAAGGACCAGAAUGAACUGAACAGUCACCUCCGGGCAGCAAUCUGCCUCUGCGCGUGUUUUCAUCUCUCUCCAACGCACAUUUUGGGAAAGUGGAGAGCACAUGACGAGCAGAUGCAGGAUGAUGGAGGAAUGCAGCCUGUGAGAGGCGUUCGUGCACAGACGCAGGCGAGUGCCCACUUAUUUGAGAUCUAACAUUUUAUUAAAUAUGAAAUAAGUCCCCGGUUUUCUAAUAAAACAUUGCUAUUCACUUUAGGAACUGUGGAAUUACCACUGAGCUGAAGCUUCCCGAACACCACUGUAUCAACAAAUUUGAUGACUCCAGUUGAGUUGUUUGCUGGGUUGACGCCGUAUUUCCUGAAACUAUAUAAAUAAUCACUGCGUUGGCUAAAAAAUGUAGACUAAAACCUUUUUCUGAGUUUGUGAAUAUUUAAGGUUUUGAAGAAAGAGAUGAUGUGUUCAGGUCCCCCUGAGACGUCAGAGUUUAAAGUUC
Betta splendens (Siamese fighting fish) is the source of this 766-nucleotide long non-coding RNA. RefSeq lists it as uncharacterized. The transcript is spliced from 4 exons. The record is from RefSeq and is a predicted model, not a curated record. Lineage: Eukaryota; Metazoa; Chordata; Actinopteri; Anabantiformes; Osphronemidae.